Molecule: long non-coding RNA, 2874 nt
Organism: Rhineura floridana
Lineage: Eukaryota; Metazoa; Chordata; Lepidosauria; Squamata; Rhineuridae
Exons: 4
Source: RefSeq, a predicted model, not a curated record
CAGAAUCUGUGGUCCUCCAGCUGUUAUUAAGCUAUAGCUUCAAUCAGCCCCAGCCAGCAUAGCCAAUGGGGGUGAAGGAGACUGAGACCAACCAGCAUCUGAAGAACUGCAAGCUCCCCAUCCCCGGCCUAAAUGAAACAAUAGUUGUAUCCAUGUGGUCUAAAAACUGGCUUCAUAUAGGAUCAGUACACUCAUUAUUUAAUUAGAUGUUAUGAAGUCCAUGGUAUUUAGUGGUGCCAAAUGAAAGAAACACAGAGAUAAGCCUAAGCAAACUGCCCAGGCAAACAAAUAGCUUUUCUGAAAAUGCUGCUGAACUACUUAAAUAAAGAAGCCAUGAAAGUAACCAGGCACGCUGGAGGACACAAGUGGAUGACACUUGCAUAUGUAACCACUAUCACAUGUGCCCUGAUCAUCUUGCAAGAGAACCUGAUGAAGGCCUAAUAUACUAGAGUCCAAAAUGCAUUGGGCUUUCCUAAGGAAUAAAUUUCCUGUCAGCAUUUUGGGAUUUUUUGGCUCUUUCUUUGUGGUUCUUUGGAUGCUGACCAUUUUUCGCUUUCAGUCACAUGUUGUCGGACAUGUGCUCUCAUCAGCAAUCUGGCCACCACAUUUUGCACCAGCUGAAGCUUCUGUACCAAGGUCAAGGGCAGAACACAUUGCAGUAAUUCAGCCUCGAGGUUACCAACACAUGGACUACAGAGGUCAAGCUAUCCCUGUCCUGGAACAACUGUAGUUGAUGAACCAGACAAAGUUGGUAAAAAGUACUCCUAGCCACAGAGGAUACUUGGGCCUCUAAUGACAAAGAUAAAUCCAGGAGUACCCCUAGGCUACAGACCUGGCCAAAACAAGUAACCUGCCUAUCUCCCGGAUAUGGCAACCACCUACCCAAAGAGUCUCUGUCUUCCCAGGAUUCAAGCACAGUUUAUUGGCCCUCAUCCAGUCCACUACAGCAUUCAGGUUCAGAGCUUUCACAGCCUAUCCUGAUUCAGAUGUUAUGGAGAAACAGAGCCACUAAAUAGUACUGUUGAAUCCCCAAAGUAUGGCAUACCAUUCUGGUAGUGUUACAGUUUCAGAGUACUAUAUGCUUGUGACACAGCCAUAUGUGAGGAGAAUGGAGAAGGCAUUCUAGGCCAGUCAGUGGUUGAGAAACUAACACCACAUUUACAGGAUUCUGGACAGAAUCUUAACAACAGAUAACUUCACCCAUGGGCCACUAGCUAGGGUAACUGACUCUGGUUGGCACACUAAAAAACCAACCAACCAAAAAUGUUCCAAGAAUUCCUUAUCCAUGAAUUCAGAAGUAAGCCAAAAGCAGCAUUUUUUAUUUUCAAGAAGAUUUGACACUCGUAAAUUAUGUACUAAGACAAUUGCAAUUUAUGCACCAAAGAAAGGAAGGACAGUGAAUCUUCUUUCUUCAGUGCAUAAAGAUGCAGACAUCUCAGACCAGAAUUCCAAUCCUGAGACAAACUAAAGGCAGGAGUGUCUCAAUUUGCACAAGAUAAAAUGGUGGGAGGUGAAAUAUAUUCUAGCAAAAUUCUAGGUGUGCUGUAUGUUCGUAAUUGACUGUGCCCACCUUGCCUUAAAUGAAGUGGUUUAAACAUAGCAGGAUGAAAAUGCAUCCUCUUUUUUUCCAGCAGCUAAAGUCAUUGCUGAAGUAGCAACAUAUUGUAAUCAGUCUGAUUUUACAUCAAACUGCAGUUUCAGAUUCAACUAUUAUUGCAGUCAAAAUAGAACAUAACCAACAAUUUGAAAUACAAAAGGCUGUCUUCACCAUCAUAUGACAGCGACCAAUAAAAAGGCUUUGAAAGUAAUAAAAACAAAUUUGACACAGAUUUCUAGGAUGAAUAAUGAGGGAAAUUAACUUUUCUAAUUUAGAUUCUCUGUAGAAACAUUAGUAACACAGGACGUAAGAAGAACACCCACAAACAUACAAAAAUAUAAUUCUCUAUCUUUGGAAAUGGCAGGUAUUGCCACCACUCACCAUAUGCUCAGAGGCACAUGUUACCAAAUUCUUCCAAGCUACACAGCAAGUGGAUUGGACUGUGAAAGACCAACCCAAAUUGUGUUGGCAUUUUGACCAAUUUGUAGGGCAGUCCAAUAUCUCAGAGAGGAGGUCAGGUCUCCUGCUCCCCUGGUGCAUUAACCAGAACUGCCCAAUUUCCCUGCUUUUUAAAGUUUGAUAGAAAUAUCUGUGAGCUAUAGGUACAUUCUUAAACCGCAAGGUUUUUUGCCUGUUAGUGAAUCAGCUAUUUAUUCCACAAAUCAUGACACUAUGCCUCUGCUGCAAAAUGUCAUGCCAGUGAACCUGUUUAAGUCUAUAAUAUUGGUUCCGAUAGUAAAAUGUUUAAAUGCUAUGCAGUACGAGUCUGAGUCUGAGGAGUGUAUAUGACCUUCUGAAGUACAAAAAGUGCUAUUUUAUAGGGAAAAAUAGAUUUACAUUUGUCAUAGGAGCAUAGGAAGCUGUCUUACAUUGAACCAGACCCAUUGUUCCAUCUAGCUCAGUACCGUCUACACUGACUGGUAGUGGCUGUCCAGGGUUUCAGGCAGGGGUCUCUCCCAGCUUACCUGGAGAUGCCAUGGUUGAACUUGGGACCUUCUACAUGCAAGCAGAUGCACUAUCACUGAACUGUGGCCCUUUCCUUAAUUGUAAAAGCUAGUUACAUAAAAUACAAGCCUGGUCACUAGAACUGAAGGAGUACAAUUCUGUAAAGGGCCACAUGUACAGAAUAUUAUUUUUUGUCCAAGUCAAAACAGCUGGAAAAUUGGUUUUCAAACCUGAAUAUUGGGAAAUCAAGAUCUGUGAUUAUGCAUGUGUGUGUUGGCAUUUGUGUGAGAGAAGAUGAAAAUCUUCUAUAUAUCAUCUGAUUCACAUGAAUA